Molecule: long non-coding RNA, 1006 nt
Filed under: Sorghum bicolor (sorghum)
Lineage: Eukaryota; Viridiplantae; Streptophyta; Magnoliopsida; Poales; Poaceae
Description: long non-coding RNA (SBIC_LNC012513)
Source: RNAcentral
GCCGUGACCCCUGUCCACGACGGCGCGAGCCACCCCUAUCUUCUCGCCCCUGUCCUUGCAGGCCGGCCGGCGCCGCCCCUCUUCUCGCCGGCCGCUCGGCGCCCACCGGCCUCCCACCCGCAUCCACACCUUUCCCAUCCACCGCCACCCACAUCCAGCAUGCACCCCUUCCCCAUUAGUGUCAGAUCCAAGCGGAGGCCGAGCCCCGGUGACGGAGGGCCACGUCCUAGCAGGAUGGAGGUCGCACACCUGAUGAGAGAGGGCCGUGCCCUAGUGGGCGGCGAGCCUCGAGGCACGAGCAGCCGAUGCCGCCGCGCGAGCAACAGGAGUCGCCGGAUCUCAUGGAGGAGGAUGUGGGUCGUCGUCAGUUGGGGCUACGUCGAUCUAUGAAUGGCGGUGGCAUCAAGGUAAAGUAAUCUAGAUCCUCUCUGGCCACAGCAUGUGCAUCCCUCUCUGAUUCGCAGGCCUGGUGAGAUCUUCAUCGUUAGUGCUCCUCUAGUCUCGCACUGCCUAGUCCCAGUUCUGUUUUGACGUUGUGAUGUUCAUCCUAGAUCUGCUGCUUCCAAAUGGAUUUGACAGAUGUGGAAAAGGUUGUGGAAUAGUCAACAAGAAGCUUGCAGAUCCGAUGUGAGGCAUGUGCGAUGCUGCCAGGCUCAUCACUUUCUUCCUGUACAUGUCUACUCAAGCUGCUAGUGCUUCAUGAUUUAGUCUAAAUCCGCUCAUAUUUGUACCUCUUCACCAUGGUUAGUUAUUGCUCUCAUUUUUGUUCAAAUUAGUUGUCACUUCUUUAUAAUUGAACAAUGUCCAUGCAUGAUGUAUGAAAAUUGCAGAGAAAUUAGAUGUAAAAUUGUAGACAAAUUACUUGUGAAAAUUAGCUGAUGGCCUUUAUGUUUGGUUCUUCAUUACAAUAGUAAACACUAGGAAAGACCGUGCAAUAGGUACACAUCUAAAAGUUCUCUGCAGCGAAUUUACAGUGUAAUUAUAACUUUCUAUUUGGUUGGGCAUA